This is a non-coding RNA of Meleagris gallopavo (turkey), 3107 nucleotides long. The record is from RefSeq and is a predicted model, not a curated record. Lineage: Eukaryota; Metazoa; Chordata; Aves; Galliformes; Phasianidae.
UUCUCCAAUGCUUUUCAGCCCCAUGCCUGCAUUCUUGGCACAAUGGACACCGUGGCCUCUGGAGCUGCAUCGGGAGACCUCUGUGUGCUGGGCUACAGAAGAAGAAGAGAGAUGGAGGAAGGAACUUGAUCAAGUACCUAGUGGGGCCUGACCCAAGCAAGUGACUCGUUGACAUUCCUCAUCAGCUGGGCAAUGCUGGUAAGAGUACCGUGCCUGUUUGGUGCCUAGGUUUAUUAAGACUUUUAGUUAUCUCAGAAAGUUGAGAUUGAUAGCAUGCUAGGUGGAUGUUUAUGGGGCGCUAGCACUUGUGUGCAAGAAAAUAUUAAUCAAUAUGAGACCGUCCAUGGCAUGGCAAAAUGAAUUAUUUUUUUCUGGAGAGAAGCAGAAUCCCAUAUUGUGAAAACAGGCGGGAAUUUCCGGAUUCUGCAUUUUACUCUGGAAUUUGUGAGACGAGUAACGAACCGCAAACCUGACAAAAGCACUGAACUGUUAACAUGUUGCGGAUAAGGUGACUUUCUCCUGUCAGGAGAACAGGACAGUGGAAUUGUGCCUACAAGGGCAGUCUGGAGGCUGACUUGGACGUUAGCUGAAAAAACCAUGGAUAACCUCUUCUUAAUAGCCAAUUCAGCUUAGAAGUGGAGGCUGUCUUAAAAUGAUCUCAGAGAAACACGUGGGGCGGAGCUUGAAAAAAGGGAUGGGGAUAUUGUGCAGGGUUUUUCCAGUUGUUCUGAGACUGCAGAGGAGUCAGGAGAGCGGAUGAAUGAUGAUGAGGUGCCAGAGCAGAGGUCAAAAGUGAGUGGUGUGUGAUUGGGUGGAGAAUAGUUUCUUGGGGCUGAGUUUCCUGUGUUUCUGGCAACGUAGAGAGUGUUCGGGAAGGCUGUGCUGUUUUUUGAGUGGUGCUACUGGAGAAGUGAGUACCUGAAGUCCCGUUGAAGGUGCAGGGGUGUUGGAUGUGAGCGUGUCUGUGUGUGAGCAGAGACAUGGCUGUGCUGUGUUAUGGCCUUAGGCAUAAUGGGGAUGGGAGCGUGAAGGGUGUGGUGCAGGGCAGGUCCCUGUGAUUCCUUCGAUAGCUCAGCUGGUAGAGCGGAGGACUGUAGGCUCCCUUGACACGGCCAUCCUUAGGUCGCUGGUUCAACUCCGGCUCGAAGGAGUGCUCUUUUGGCUCUUGCUCCGACUGAGUCUGCAGCACUGGUGCAUUUGGAACGCUGGCCACGCAUCUUGUAUUUGAUGGGAUUGGAGGCCGGAGCUCUGGCGGGCCGUGGAGAAGAGGACGUUGCUCUGUGGUGGUUUGUGUAGAAGAUAGGGCAGGUGGUGUUGGCGUUGAGCACCUGUAUGUUUGAAGGGAGCAGCAGCAGCAGCUGGAAGUUGGGAGUGUUUGUUGGGUUUGUGAAGAAGGGUGCUGGGUGGGCAAGAGUAGUGUGCAGGGCCACGUGGGUGAGAGCUGAGGGGAGGUGAGGUGAGUUGGAGGCUGUGUGCUGGGGAAUUAGCUCAAGUGGUAGAGCGCUCGCUUAGCAUGUGAGAGGCAGCGGGAUCGAUGCCCGCAUUCUCCAAUGCUUUUCAGCCCCAUGCCUGCAUUCUUGGCACAAUGGACACCGUGACCUCUGGAGCUGCAUCGGGAGACCUCUGUGUGCUGGGCUACAGAAGAAGAAGAGAGAUGGAGGAAAGAACUUGUUGAAAUACAGAAUGUGGUCUGGAGAAAAUGAUGACAGGAAAAAGUCUAAAAGUGAGCUGUAACUCCAGAUAUAAGAAGAAUUUCUAAGAACCUGCUCUGUUCGGCAAAUAUAAUCCAAAGGGAAAGAAGUAAGUGCCACCAGAAGUCCCGUUCCACUGAAAACAGCUGCUGCUUUUCAUCCUUCACAUUCAAGGUUAAACAGGAUGGUGAGAACACUAACAUGAUACUGGGAUUUAUAUUGGAGACUGACAAGAAGUGAGAAAAUAAAGAAGGAAGAUGAGGAGUCUGAAACAAGAACUCUUGCUAGCUGAUGACUUUUCUCAGGUAAAUGAAUGGCAACUAGAAAAAAAGACCCCAAACGAGUAAAGCAUGAAGAUGCGAGUGAAAUAUGGUAGGUUAAUAAGAUAAGGGAGAGUAUGUAUCCCAAUAAUGGACAUAUACAGUGCUAAUGUGUGCCAUUUUUUCAGUCAUUGAGCAUGAUCUAUCUUUCAUUCUGUAUUUGAAUAUUUUGAUGUGUUGAUGUCAAUUUUUAUAGUACCCAACUGAACAACCUAAUCAAAGGGCAACAGAUUGAAUAAGUGGAAGAGGAUGCUUCUGCCAAGAUGUGCUGCGUCUCUGGUUCAGGACUGAGGACUGAUUUUUGUUUGCAAGAAAAGAGUGCUUCUGAGGCAGCUACACCCUCAAAUGUUCUUCUUAUCAUUUCUUUUCAGUUAGUUCUGAAUCACAUGCCCUACCUGACGGAUAUUCAAACAAUCUCCUGAAAAAGAAAGAACUGUUUCAAGUGCCUUUCUUAGGAGUGAGUUUUUAAGAUCUCAGACGAGCCCAAUAAUUCUCUGGCAAUAAAUUACAUUCUUGUCACAUUCCUGUGUUACUGAAUAGUCACUGUCAUUAUGGUUUCAAAAGAAAUACAGAACAGAUUUAAAUAAUAUGAUUGCAUUGCACCCAUUUUUAAAUACAUAUAGCUAUAUUGGAAGUAAGGUAUUCCAUCUGGUUAGCCAUCUGUAACUCCAUCUAUUCAAGGAGUAUUCAUAAGAGAACAACCAUAUAUUUGAAUUCUCUGAACAUAUUGUGACCUUCUGUUACUAUUCACAUAGAGUAUCUCAAUUUAAAUGUAUUUUGGGUUUUUAAUAUCUCUCAACAACUGUACUAUUUGAAAAAGUAGCAAACCAAAGAAAUACAAACCUCAAAUGAACAGUCUGUUGCAUAUGCAAAUUGCUCAUGCCUUUACCUGGUCAGUUUGACCCAGAGAAGUAAUCCAGAACUGUAACUUCCUAGCUCAUGCAAAUAAAACCAAUUUGAACUACCUAAGUGAUAUAUAUAUAAACACUUCUUUUUCCCAAAAAUAAAAUUAUAGGCAAUUAAGCUUUAAGUAACGGUAAUGCACUUAAGUUUUUCAACAAGAUAUUCAGUGGAGCACCAGGAAUUUUAUUUUUAU